Molecule: ribosomal RNA, 253 nt
Filed under: uncultured bacterium
Lineage: Bacteria
Description: partial 16S ribosomal RNA
Rfam family: Bacterial small subunit ribosomal RNA
Source: RNAcentral
UACGGGGGGGGCAAGCGUUGUUCGGAAUUACUGGGCGUAAAGGGCUCGUAGGCGGCCAACUAAGUCAGACGUGAAAUCCCUCGGCUUAACCGGGGAACUGCGUCUGAUACUGGAUGGCUCGAGUGUGGGAGAGGGAUGCGGAAUUCCAGGUGUAGCGGUGAAAUGCGUAGAUAUCUGGAGGAACACCGGUGGCGAAGGCGGCAUCCUGGACCACGACUGACGCUGAGGAGCGAAAGCCAGGGGAGCAAACGGG